Molecule: long non-coding RNA, 335 nt
Filed under: Mus spicilegus (steppe mouse)
Lineage: Eukaryota; Metazoa; Chordata; Mammalia; Rodentia; Muridae
Description: lncRNA (ENSMSIG00000022117.1)
Source: RNAcentral
CCAAAAUGACGGUUGCCCAGUGAGUUGUCUUAUGUUCCAUGUGACAAUGGGAAGACUACCAGCCUCAGAAUUGAGGCAGUGCUUGGACAUCCGGAAUCAGGUACGAGGAUUUUGGCAUGAUGGAAAAACCCCAGGUGGGCCCUCUGAAUAGACUGUGUCCAUGGGGCAGCUAUAACAGGGUGGUAAAGAUGGUGGUACCUGAGAGGAUUGGUGAAGAGGAGGAAUCAUCAAAAAUGUUCAAUUCUGAACAUCAAGAGGUCACACCACUGCACAUCCGUGAAUGGUCUGCGACUCUGUCCAUUAAACACACAUGUGCAAAGACUCACACAUUGCUG